UUUUUUUUUCCUACCAUUUUGAAUGCACCUGCUCUGAUCGAGUCCUGGAAGCUAACCAGAGUCAAGCCUCGUUAGUAUUUGGAUGGGAGAUAACUUGGGAAAAUUUGGGUGAUGUAGGUA
RNAcentral lists this ribosomal RNA (120 nucleotides) under Mandrillus leucophaeus (drill). The record is from RNAcentral. Lineage: Eukaryota; Metazoa; Chordata; Mammalia; Primates; Cercopithecidae.